UCCCUGGUGGCCUAAUGGCUAAGGGUUCAGCAUUAUCACUCCUGUGAUGCAGGUUCAAUCCCUGGCCCAGGAA
Molecule: transfer RNA, 73 nt
Filed under: Sus scrofa (pig)
Lineage: Eukaryota; Metazoa; Chordata; Mammalia; Artiodactyla; Suidae
Rfam family: tRNA
About the family: Transfer RNA (tRNA) molecules are approximately 80 nucleotides in length.
Source: Rfam by way of RNAcentral